This 490-nucleotide ribosomal RNA is filed under the name uncultured bacterium. RNAcentral's name for it is "partial 16S ribosomal RNA". It matches the Rfam family "Bacterial small subunit ribosomal RNA", at positions 30 to 507 of the family's 1533-position model. The record is from RNAcentral.
AUUGAACGCUGGCGGCAGGCCUAACACAUGCAAGUCGAACGGUAACACGAUGCAGCUUGCUGCUUCGCUGACGAGUGGCGGGCGGGUGAGUAAUGUCUGGCAAGCUGUCUGAUGUAGGGGGAUAACUACUGGAAACGGUAGCUAAUACAGCAUAAUGUCGCAAGACCAAAGAGGGGGAGCUUCGGGCCUCUUGCCCGCGGAUGUGCCCAGAUGGGAUUAGCUUGUUGGUGGGGUAACGGCUCACCAAGGCGACGAUCCCUAGCUGGUCUGAGAGGAUGACCAGCCACACUGGAACUGAGACACGGUCCAGACUCCUACGGGAGGCAGCAGUGGGGAAUAUUGCACAAUGGGCGCAAGCCUGAUGCAGCCAUGCCGCGUGUAUGAAGAAGGCCUUCGGGUUGUAAAGUACUUUUAGCGGGGAGGAAGGGAGUAAAGUUAAUACCUUUGCGCAUUGACGGUACCCGAAGAAGAAGCACCGGCUAACUCCGUG